This 497-nucleotide ribosomal RNA is filed under the name uncultured bacterium. RNAcentral describes it as "partial 16S ribosomal RNA". It matches the Rfam family "Bacterial small subunit ribosomal RNA", at positions 28 to 507 of the family's 1533-position model. The record is from RNAcentral.
GAUGAACGCUGGCGGCGUGCCUAAUACAUGCAAGUCGAGCGAACGGACGAGAAGCUCGCUUCUCUGAUGUUAGCGGCGGACGGGCGAGUAACACAUGGAUAAGCUACUAAUAAGACUGGGAUAACUUCGGAAAACCGGAGCUCAUACCGGAUAAUAUUUUGAACUGCAUGGUUCAAAGGUGAAAGACGGUCUUGCUGUCACUUAUAGAUGGAUCCGCGCUGCAUUAGCUAGUUGGUAAGGUAACGGCUUACCAAGGCAACGAUGCAUAGCCGACCUGAGAGGGUGAUCGGCCACACUGGAACUGAGACACGGUCCAGACUCCUACGGGAGGCAGCAGUAGGGAAUCUUGCGCAAUGGGCGAAGGCCUGACGGAGCAACGCCGCGUGAGUGAUGAAGGUCUUCGGAUCGUAAGACUCUGUUAUUGGGGAAGAACAUAUGUAUAAGUAACUGUGCACAUCUUGACGGUACCUAAUCAGAAAGCCACGGCUAACUACGUG